This 71-nucleotide transfer RNA is filed under the name Loxodonta africana (African savanna elephant). It matches the Rfam family "tRNA". Rfam says of the family: Transfer RNA (tRNA) molecules are approximately 80 nucleotides in length. The record is from Rfam by way of RNAcentral. Lineage: Eukaryota; Metazoa; Chordata; Mammalia; Proboscidea; Elephantidae.
GCCGUGGUAGUUCAGCGGUAGAAUUCUCACCUUCCAUGCUGGAGACCCAGGUUCGAUCACUGGCCAAGGCA